RNAcentral lists this ribosomal RNA (460 nucleotides) under uncultured bacterium. RNAcentral describes it as "partial 16S ribosomal RNA". It matches the Rfam family "Bacterial small subunit ribosomal RNA", at positions 338 to 795 of the family's 1533-position model. The record is from RNAcentral.
CCUACGGGCGGCAGCAGUGGGGAAUAUUCGGCAAUGGGCGCAAGCCUGAAGCAGCCAAGUAGCGUGAAGGAUGACUGCCCUACGGGUUGUAAACUUCUGUUUUAAAGGAAUAAAGUGCGGCACGUGUGCCUUUUUGUAUGUACUUUAUGAUUAAGGAUCGGCUAACUCCGUGCCUGCAGCCGCGGUAAUACAGAGGUUGCGAGCGUUAUCCGGAUUUAUUGGGUUUAAAGGGAGCGUAGAUGGGUUGUUAAGUCAGUUGUGAAAGUUUGCGGCUCAACCGUAAAAUUGCAAUUGAUACUGGCAGUCUUGAGUACAGUUGAGGUAGGCGGAAUUCGUGGUGUAGCGGUGAAAUGCUUAGAUAUCACGAAGAACUCCGAUUGCGAAGGCAGCUUACUAAACUGCCACUGACAUUGAUGCUCGAAAGUGUGGGUAUCAAACAGGAUUAGAUACCCCUGUAGUC